RNAcentral lists this long non-coding RNA (267 nucleotides) under Lathyrus oleraceus (garden pea). Its description in RNAcentral is "Pisum sativum (pea) long non-coding RNA (PSAT_LNC009971)". Lineage: Eukaryota; Viridiplantae; Streptophyta; Magnoliopsida; Fabales; Fabaceae. The record is from RNAcentral.
AAACAUGCGGAUGUUGUAACAAUCGCAAGUGAAAAUUUUACCGAAAAUCCUAAGGAGAGUGAUAAUGAGGAGGUUCAGGUGAGAAGAGAGUAGAGAUUGAGAAAGAACCACCAACACCACCCGAGAGGGAGGUUUUCAAAGAGGUAGAGAAGGAAGAACUAUGUGUUAUUCCUCCUCCCUAUAAAUCACAAAUCCCUUUCCCGCGAAGGUCUGUGGAAGUUAAGAUAGACCCCAAAAUCCGAAAGUAAUGAAGAGGUAUCAGAAAAU